This 22816-nucleotide long non-coding RNA is filed under the name Vitis vinifera (wine grape). RNAcentral describes it as "long non-coding RNA (VVIN_LNC006394)". The record is from RNAcentral. Lineage: Eukaryota; Viridiplantae; Streptophyta; Magnoliopsida; Vitales; Vitaceae.
UGUAAUUGGCCUGUCUUUGCCAACUUGUCCACCCGGGACAGGGUGGCGGGCAAGGGCUGCUGCACAAACUGCACUGUAGUAUAUGGACUUGAUGCCUAGUUUGGAAGCCAAAGUGGGAGCCCAGUAAGGAAAAUCAAAGAGCAAAAAGUCUGGCUUCAAGGCGCGUAGGGCUGCCUCAACUUGGUCAGCGGUGCGGUCCAUGGCGGUGACGAGAAGGUGAUGCAUGAAGAAGGGCACAUCGGAAGCAGUUUCAGCACCGGGAGGGAGGCCAUCAACAUGUGGGAUGGUGAGGGGAUGAAAAGUGAUGAGAGUAGGAUGAAGAUUCAGAUGCUGCAGCUGGGAUUGAGCUUUUUUGGGCAAAAUGAAGGUGAUCUUGUGGCCCCUCUCAGCAAGCUCGUUGGAGAGAUGGAGGUAAGGAGUCAGAUGACCAAAAGCAAACCAUGGGUACAUGGCUAUAUGCAAUUUUGUGCUCCUGGCCAUGGCCAUUUUCCUUCUUCUUGGUUGGUUUAUGGUUGAAGAUUUCGGUUGCAACUUAUAUAUAUGGCAUCAUGGGGUUGAAAGAAUUGUGUUGUUUGGUUCACGGGAAAGAAUGAUCUCUUCUCUUAGCAUGAAAGAUAAUUAGUUCUCAUUUGUUAAGUCAUCUACUGGUAGACACCGUAGCUGCACUUCCAUUAUUGAAAAUAGUGAAUGAUGCUGUCAUUCCAUGUCAUGUGAGAGAAAGGGCCAAAAAUCAAACAAAUAACGCAUUUCCAUCUUCUUGUUUUGUGUUUCCAUGUGGUGCUUGAAGUGGUUGGGGUUUAAACAAACAGCGAAGAAAAUGUUUUUAUUUUGGGUAGGCAUUGAAAAGAACACCCCCCAUUAUUGAAGUGCUUGAAGUGGUGCGAGAUGCUUAUAUAUUUUUUAAGUCCUAUAUAUAUAUAUAUAUAUUUAAUUAUCAUAGUGCUAUUUAUUUGUAUGAUUGUACUUCCAUCCACUUGUUUCUACUCUCAUUUGAUGGCAUAAAUCUUGAAUAAUCCGGAUUUGAAGUUAUAAUACAAGGAUACAAGUGUAUGAUGCAAGCAUAGGUAUAAACAAAUAAAUUAAUCUAGGUUGGAUGCCAGUCAAUUUAAUCGUUUGGUUUAUUCUAUUUUUAAAAGUAAUCAAAAUCAACGUGGAUUUAAAAUUUAAAAUAUAUUUAAUAUUUUAACUCAAAAUAUAAUAAAAUACAUUUAAAAAAUAAUUUAAACGUAAUGUAAUUAUAACGAUUGACUUUAAUAAAAUAUAUAAAAAAUGUAUAUGGCCAUAAAUAUAUAUAUAUAUAUAUAUAAACUUAUUAAUUAUUGAACAAUUAUAAAUUACAAAAGGUAGAAGUCUUUAAAUAUUGGUCUCAUUUAGCUUUUCUCUUCAUUAGAGAUAAGGAAAUCAAAAACCAAAUCGAUAAAAUCAAUUUUUAAAAUUCUUAAACCUAAUCCACACUUUGUAUAGUUGUUGAAACUCAAGUUAAUUUGAUUGAUUUUGGUUGGAUUAGAUUAUUAUUAUUUUUUCUUUUACUUGCACCCUUGCUCAAGUCAAUGGGCUGGUUGCUUUAUAUUUGCAUGAUUUAUGAAAUAUAUAUCAAAUAGGUGGUCGUAUGAGAAGUGAUAAGAUAUCAAGUGAUUAGUACAAAGAUACUCUCCAUUACUUUUAAGGUUAUGUUUAAUUGUUGGAAAAUUUGAAGGAAAAUAUGAGAGAAAGAAAAGAAGAAAAGAAAAAGUGAAAGAAACUAAAAAAUAAAUUUAAAGUAUUAACUACUUCAAAUUCAUUUAACUUAUUUUAUUUAUUUAAAAUAAGGAUUAAAUAAUUUAAAAAUAAAUAAAUUUAUAACUAAUUUUAAUUUAUAUUUUAUUUUCUUUGAUAUUUUUCAUGAUACAAUCAAACAUGAAAAAAAAAAUCAUUUUCUUUAAUAUUAUUUUCUUUCAUUUGUACUUCCUGAUAAUCAAACAUAACAUAAAGUUAAUAUAAUUUGAUAGAAAUCUUUUCCUUUCCUCAUUUUCCAUAUCUCUAAAUCACUUUCAUCAACUUGCCCAAAUCAUUUCUUCAUGCAAUGAAAAUUAGUUUGUUCAAAAGUAUCUUCAUCUCCAUUUGUAUAGUAUAAAAAAAAUUAACAAACAUUGAAGAAUUAUAAAUCGCAAAAAAAUGGGAGUGUUAAAAUAUUAAUUUGAUUUAGUUUUUAUCAAUUAGAGACCAGUAAAUCAACAAGUGAUAAAAUCAAAAUUUAAAAUUCUCAAAGUCAAACCAAAUUUGUUCUGUUGUUGAAAACCAAAUCAAUUUUGUUGCUACCUGAGUCUUUGAGGAUCCACGUAGUCGCCAGAUGGAUGGACGCGUGAUUUCAACUUAUACAGGUUCUUGAUCCAGUCGUUAUACCUGCAAGAAGGCAUCCGGACAGGGUGUCCGGACACACCCUCCGAUGGUUUUGUUAGCCAUGGACCGAGAGAGGUAUAAAUCAGUUUGCCUUUUUUCAGGUAUCAAGAAGUUACCAGGGGCCUCUUUUCUUCGUGUGAAGGCAUAUAUAUAUACAGCUUCAGGGGUACUGUUCCUCUCAUUAAUGGCGAGGAGAUAUUUUAUGUUUGUCAUGAUGACAUUCGGAGGCAGUAUGGCCAUCACCACCCUACUGGCGGCUGUCAGAAACCGUGGUAGGUGAUGCUGCUGUCUAGAUAUCAUAGGAAGUGAGCAUGUAGAAUGAUCGUGGGAAGUGACCAGUUGUCACUUCGACCCGUCCUUUCACUCUGCAGAUGAUGGGACGUGGGCCAUGGCUGAUUGUCGUGAUAGCGUGUAAGACUCGCUUUACUUUAAUUGAUGAUCCGGACGAUUAUGUCCGGGUGGCACGUACUAAUUGCCCGGAUGCAUUGUGGAGCGGAUGCAUCAUGAAGGUUGUCCGGAUGUCUGUGUUUUGCCAGCGACGUUUGCUCUUCCUUGGAUAGGAGAAGUUGAAACGUCAUUUGCCUUUCCUUGAGGCGGUCCGGAUGGGAGAAUUGCCUCACACAUAUCUUUAGGGGAAUCCGGAUGGUGGUGGUUUGGAUGAUGAUGUGUGCCACGUGUCACUGUGAGGUGCGUGCCACGUGUUUCCCAGAGGGAGGGGUCCCUACAUUGCCCCCCUUUUUAACUUGCCUAUUUUACCAAAAAAUGGGCGGGUUAAAAAAAUAACUGUCUUUUUGAAAUUUGAAGAGGUCUCUUCGUCUGACUGGGCCACGUGGCGAGUGGGGGUGCGGAGGCCAAAAAAGGUCUUUAUGACGAGCCGCCGACUCUGGGUAUUCCCAGGCAGCAUGUCGUUUCAAUGAUAACUUGUUUGGACGUUUGGCUUUCCGAGGGCCUGUCCCCCUAUAAAUAGCGUACUGUACCUUCUUUUUCAUUUUUUCUACUGCAUUUUCCUGAGAGCCUUUCUUCUUCUUGCUUUUGCUGCGUCCUUUGCUUUUUCUGAGUAAAGAAACUCGAAAACACUUUUGUACCGGUGAUUUUGUGUCGCGAUACUCGUUUGCUGCUGGUGUUCUUAUAUCGAAACAACGAUCUUUCUUCUUCAGAGCUUCAUUUGGUACGUGUACUUUUGCUAUUGCUGUUCCUUUUGUUGCGUUUUGUUGGUUCUUUGGUUUUGGUUUCUGAUUUGUUUGGGUUAGGGUUUGUGUAUUUUCUGGGUUACUUGUGUUUUACCCAUUGCAUUUCUUGUGUGUAGGUUUGGGUUUGUGGUAAGAAAUGGCUACAAAAAAGGCUGUUUCAUCUUCCCGGGCUAGCGAAGUUUGUGGAAAGGCGAUAGAUAAGCUGGAUGCGCAGGAAUUCCGGGAACGGUUCUGUAUCCCGGAUAACGUGGCUAUCGAACUGCUGAAUGGGAGGGUGCUUGUGCCCUCCGAGAAAGCAGAAGAAAAAACUAUCAUCUUCUCGAAGGAACAAUUCAAUGCGGGGCUUCGGUUCCCUUUGCCAGCGUUGUUCAAGGAGUUCCUCCACUUCACCAAGAUUCCGCCCGUCUUCAUUCACCCCAACAUUGUCCGGGUGCUGAUGGGAUGCAGCAUCAUAAACAUGCUGUACAACCUCGAUCUCACGCUGCUGGAGGUGUUUUUUGUGUAUUCUUUGAAGAAGGUAAAAAAUGACAUCUUCAGCAUGUCCGCACACCUGCCCUCCCUCCAAAUGGUGACGGAGUUGCCAGAUUCGACAAAGGGAGGGGCGACGGGACACGUGGUGGUCCGGGGUGCAUGGGCGGGGCUUUUGGAGCAUCCGGCGAGGCCUUUCUCUCCCAACUACUCCUUGGUGGUUCCAGGUAGGUUUGCUUUGUGACUAUUGUCCGGAUUUUACUUUGUUGAUUUUUUGUUGACUCUUUCGAAUGAUAUUCUCAUCUUUUUGUUGCUGUUAAUAUAGGUCCGGAAUUGAGGGGCCACCUUGUGGAUUGGGUGGAAAAGGCAUCUUUUGACCGUCUCAGCAAACUUUUUGAGGUAGACGCCAAGAAGAGGCGAUGUAAGACGCUGCUAAUUGCGCAGAACCUAACGGCGAUCGUCCGGGAGCCCCAAGAGUACAUCAUCAAUAUUCUCCCCAGGAAGAUGCCGAAGGAGGUAGUGCCUGGGGAGCAUUAUAUUGUGAAGGACCUCCCAAUUUACGAGGCGUCAAAAGAGGCUGAUGCUGAAAAACGCCGACUUCUCCUAGAGGAUCGGGAGAAGAAGAAGAACGAAGGGACCCUUCGGAAGGCUCUCGGACAGAAACGCGACGUAGAUUCUCCUUCAAAUAAAACUCCAGCGAAAAGGAGGAAGCUGGUGAAGAAGCAUGGGAAGGAUGUGAAGGAGCCCACUCCUCCCAAGGAAUUUGCUCCUCCGCCCAUCAUUCAUGAGGCGGAGGUAAUGAUAGAGGAGCCAGUGAACCCUGCCCCUCAUUCCAUCUCCAGCGGAUCCGGACACCUUGUGGGGCUGAACCACUCAAGCACCUCCUUGGCAGCGGUUGCGCAUCUAGCGAAUUUGGCAGAGGAAGCUGCGUCUGUUAACCAUCCGGACUCCCGCAACCCGGAUGCUGAUGCAGCUGAGGCCGUUUAUGCAACCCCUAUGGAGGAAGCGGGAGCAGAAAGUCAGAGUCAGCCCUCUGACGAUCAUGACCGGCUGGCUCUUGUUCUGGUGACGGGGCCAUUCUCAAAGAAGCCUCGCUCGGUGCGCAAGCAAGAGAUUGAAGUCAGUUGCUCAACCGCCCACGAUGCUCAUCCGGAGGGGGGUGAAGUGGGGAUGCAAACUGAGAUUGCAGCUGUCCCGGAGGUGAUCCCGACUGAGGUUACACCCGGGGAGGACGAUCCGGACGUAAAUGUUGAGGUUCCAAAUCCAGAACAAGAGUCAUCUUCUCGUGCCUCAUCGGAGGGGAAUCCUGUUAAUGACGCAUCUUGCACCUCUGCUAGCCCUUUUAGCUAUGCGGAGUUGGAAGAGAAGCUAAAACAGAUUCCACCCGGAUUGCCCCUUGUCAAGUCUUCAGCCCAGAUGUUCGAGAUGGUGGAAACGGUAAAACUGUUUUUGUGCUUUUUGAUUGUCAUUCUGAUGUGUGAUUUCUAACUUUGCUUUUCUUGCUUGGCUAUUUGUUUGCAGCUGGUGAGUGGUCUCCGUGGCAUGGCCAAUCAAUAUGAUCUUUUCACUGACCUGCUGCGGACCACUGAUUAUAUGAGGGUCUUCGCCGCUCGGCGCAAAGAUGCUGAAGAUCAGUUGCGCCUGAGACUGGCGGAGGCUGAAGCCAGCGUAUCCGCCGCCCGGAGGGAGAAUGAGUCCCUCCGGGCAGAUUUGGCUGACGCAAAGGUCCGGGAGGAAUCAAUGGAUGCCCGUCUGCUUGAGGCAGCAGAUGAGAUGGCUGGUCUGAGGGGGGAGGUGAGGCAACUUCGGACAGAAGUUUCUAUCGAAAAGAAACAGAGGGAAGAUUUGCAGCUACGCUUGGUUGCACAAAAAGAGGAGCUAGAACAGGAGUUUGCUGCAGAGAGGGAGGAAAUUGAAGCAGAAUAUCAAAAACAAGUGGAUGAUACGUUCAUCUUUGAGUAUCGGUGCUGCAUGAAGAAGAACGGUAUCAAGCGGGACGUGCCUUCAAUUCCUCCGGGUGAAGAAAAGAAACUUUAUGACAAGCCUGCUCCCUGAUAGUUUAUCUCUUUUUGUAACUUUUUCUGUAAUCUUCCUUCUGUAUUUUUUUUGUGGUCCGUAGACCUCCUUGUACAUAUUUUUAGCUAUAUCAAUAAAAAUAUUUCUUUUUUCAUCUGAACUUGUCUUGGCUUUCUUAUUGAUAAUACUGCUUUAAAUUCGACACAUUCCACGGUCUAAGUAACGGAGUUCCGUCCAACUUUUGUAAAUGAUAGGCUCCAUUGCCAUUUGCUUUAGACACUAUAUAAGGUCCUUCCCAGUUGGCUUGGAACUUCCCUGCACCCACUUCAGUAGUAUUCUCAAAAACUUUUCUAAGGACUAGCGUACCAUUUUUGAAGCUUCUUGGUCUCACUUUGCGAUUGUAAUGUGCUGAUGCCCUUUGUUGGUAAUCUGCCAUUCGGAUGGCCGCGCUUUCCCGCACUUCAUCCGUCCAAUCCAAAUUUCUUCUGAAUUCUAUGUUAGCAUCACUUUGUUUUGCUGCGUCGGUUCGGAUAGUAGGGAGACCUAUUUCGGUAGGAAUGACUGCAUCCAUUCCAUAUGCAAGAGCGAAAGGAGUAUUUCCUGUUGGCCGUCCGGGUGUGGUUCUGUAGGCCCAUAGGACACCGGGUAGCUCUUCCACCCACUUCCCUUUAGCUUGCUCAAGCCUUUUCUUUAGGGCAUUGAUUAGGGUUUUGUUUGUGGCUUCUGCUUGCCCGUUGCUUUGAGGAUACCGUGGUGUGGAGUAUGAGUUCCGGAUAUUCAGCUCCGAACAGAAAUUUCUGAAUGCAAUGCUAUCAAAUUGUAGACCAUUGUCGGCUAUGAUGGUUUGGGGGAUUCCAAAACGGCAGAUAAUAUUUUUCCAUACAAACUUGGUGACAUCCUUGUCUUUGAUGCUAGCAUAUGCUUCAGCUUCUACCCACUUACUGAAAUAAUCUGUGGCGACAAGCAAAAUUUCUUUUGGGCAGGUGCAGCUAGGAGAGGUCCCACUAUGUCCAUGCCCCACUGUGCGAAGGGCCAUGGACCUGAGAUUGAUUUUAACGUUGUUGAUGGCAUAUGUGGAAUGGGAGCGUGCCUUUGACAUUUAUCACAUCUUUUGACAUAUGCUGCCGCGUCUUUCUUCAUUGUUGGCCAAUAGUAUCCUUGUGAAUGGGCUCUAUGUGCCAGAGAUCGUCAUCCCGAAUGAUUUCCGCAUACUCCCUCAUGUAACUCGGCCAACACAUAUUGGGCCUCUAGGUGUCCUAGGCACCGAAGGUAUGGUCCCGUGAAAGAUCGCUUGUACAGGUGUCCCCCAAUUAAGGUAAAACGGGCAGCCUGCACCCGUGCUUUGUGUGCCUGUUUGGGAUUUCCGGGUAGAAUUUCUGUCCGGAUAUAUUCUGUGAUGUCAUUCAUCCAUUCUUGCCCGUCCGCUUGGGGUGCCUCAAUGGUAUUGUAGAUUGAAACUUCCGAGACGGAGGGGUUGGUUUGCACAUGUAUGGGCAGAAGAAUGGCUUCCUUGAUAGGGAGGGAGGCAGCUAUGCCGGCCAAAGCGUCAGCGCGCCUGUUGUCAGCUCGCUUGAUUUUUUCGAUUGUCCAUUCAGUGAAUUGCUGCAAAGUGUUUCUUACUUUAGCUAAGUAUCGUGCCAUGCGUGCGUCCUUAGCCUCAUAUUCCUCCUGGACAUGUUUUACCACGAGUUGUGAGUCGCUGAAGAUCCGGAGUUUGGAGACGGAUAGGGCAAGAGCGAGGUCCAAUCCGGACAAGAUAACCUCAUAUUCUGCCUCAUUGUUAGAGGCAGAGAAUCCCAGCUGGAUGGCUUGUUCCAAAUAUUCCCCAGUUGGGGAUUGCAAUAAGAGCCCGACUCCAGAGCCUGAUGAACGUGAGGCUCCGUCAACUCGUAGAGUCCACCACUCUUUUUUACUUGAUUCUUCAUGCUGGCCAGGUUUUCGGGAAUAUUCUAGCACGAAGUCAGCCAUUACCUGGCCUUUCAUGGACAACCUUGGUUGGAAUUCAAUUCCAAACUCGCUUAAUUCGAUGGCCCAUUGUAGCAUUCUCCCGGUUAAAUCUGGCUUGUGCAGAAUAUUGCGAAGGGGUUGAUCAGUCAACACGAUCACUGGGUGGGCUUGAAAAUAGGGCCGGAGCUUUUGGGCAGUGUUUCGAAGGGCUAAGGCUGUUAGCUCCAUUUUUGAAUAUCUGGUUUCUACGUCUGCCAAUGCCCUGCUGACAUAAUAGAUGGGCUUCUGCUCCUUAGGUGAUGGGCAGCGGAAUAGAACGGCACUGAUUGCCCAUUCUGACACUGCCAGAUACAUGUAUAAUUUCUCCUUUGGGAUGAGGCUGCUUAAAAUGGGUGGUUGCAUAAGACAAUGCUUAAUCCUUUCCAAAGCGCUUUGACAACUGUCCGUCCACCCAUGCGCUCCAGCCUUUCGUAUUGCCAAGAAGAAGGGUCGCAACUCAUCAGUAAAGCGGGCUAUGAAACGUCCUAACGCAACGAGCUUGCCUGUGAGGCGUUGUAUCUCCUUUUUGUUCCUGGGAAGAGUUGUUUCCAUAACUGCCUUGACUUGAUCCGGGCUGACUUCUAUGCCCCUUUGGCUGACCAUAAAUCCUAGAAAUUUUCCGGCACUUACGCCAAAAGCGCAUUUAGAAGGAUUUAGCUUCAUGCCAUACCUUCGUAAGAGGUGAAAAACUUCUUGCAAAUGAAGGAUAUGCUGUUCUCGAGUUUUGCUUUUAACCACGAUAUCGUCAAUAUAUACCUCUAUUGAGUGGCCUAUCAGAGGUUUGAAGAUUUUAGUCAUCAAUCUUUGAUAAGUGGCGCCAACAUUUUUGAGUCCGAAUGGCAUGACUUUAUAGCAAUAUAGGCCGUGUGGCGUUAUGAAUGCUGUUUUUUCCUCGUCAUCCGGGGACAUGGGGAUUUGAUGAUAUCCGGAGAAGGCAUCCAAGAAAGAGAGCAUCCCCUGCCCGGAAGUGGAAUCCACAAUCUGAUCUAUUCGCGGCAAGGGAAAACUGUCUUUUGGACACACAUUGUUGAGAUUGGUGUAAUCUACACAAACUCGCCAUUUUCCUUCUUUUUUGGGUACCACGACUACGUUUGCCAACCAAUCUGGAUAAGAAACUUCUCUAAUGAAUCCGGCUUCGAGCAAUUUGUCAAUCUCAUUCCGGAUGAUUUUUUGUCUCUCCAGGUGAAAGCGCCUAAUCCUCUGCCGGACGGGUCUGGCAGUUGAAAAGACGUUAAGCCUGUGAGAUGCAAUGGAGGGAAGAAUGUGCCCACGCAAAGAUGUCGUGGUUCUGUCUGAGGAUAUUUUGCAUGUCCUGAGUUUCUUCUUGUGUCAUGAGGGAACUGAUGUUCGUGAGGUGAUCGCUUUCCUCCGAAAUUUGGAUUGUUUGUAAGGGAUCUACUGCCGGGGGAUCUUUGUCCGCCGGACCCAAUAAUUGCUAUUGGUCACGCGCAAUGCUGGGUUCAGGGGGAGAUGCAUCCUCCUGGUUAGCCCCUGCUUCACGUGCUAUUUGAUAGCAUUGGCGAGCGGCUAAUUGGCUGCCAUAUAGGUCGAUUUGGCCCUCGUUGGUGAGAAAACUCACCAUUUGAUGAUAUGUAGAGGGGAUAGCCUUCAUGUAGUGGAGCCAUGUACGCCCCAAAAUGACAUUGAAGGGUGAUAACUCCUGUACUACUGAAAACUGAACGUUGAGAGUGACUGGGCCAGCUUGGACUGAUAGUAUGAUAUCUCCUAAGGAUGUGGUUGAUGAUCCGUUGAAUCCGGAUAAGAUUCGUCCGGGGUUUUCAAGGCCCGCGAGACUAUGUCCCAUGCGGCCAACGACUGAUGCUUGCACCAGGUCGGCCGAACUGCCUGGGUCAACCAAGAUACGCCGCACAUCGAAGUCCCCAAUUUCUAGGGACAAGAUGAGGGCGUCGCGAUGUGGUUGUAGUGUCCGGGUGGGAUUCACUGGUGGAAAAAUUAUUGUUCCAUCUAUGGGGCGAGGGCCCUCCCCAGUUAGACCCGGCCGGAUGGAAUUAAUGCGUUCGCGUAUUGAUGCAGCUCGCAACAAUUUCUGCCUUUUCCGCCUGGAGUCAUACUCCUCGUCAGAUGGUCCUCCGGUAAUAUAGUUGAUAAUGGCCUUGGAGGCAACUGGGACCCUAGGGACUCCAGGGUUGUUGUGCUUGGAAACGUCCCUUCCUCCAGUAUCCGUGCGGAGGUAUUGCUUCAAAUGCCCAGCUUUUAUGAGUCUUUCGACCAAAUACUGGAAAGAUCGGCACGUCUCUGUUGUAUGGCCAUGAUCUUUGUGGAAGGCACAUUUCCUGCUACGAUCCCUUGUAGAUGGGUCCAUUGCAAUGGGUCUAGGCCACUUGAAGUCGGUCAAGCCUUGGAUCAUUGGGAGAAGUUUCUCAUAUGAUAUAGAAAGAGGUGUGAGAGGCGGCAUUUCCGGGCGACUUGGCCCUUCCUGCCUUCGGUCAGACGACUUUGGCCGAUCCGGAGGUUUGGUAUUUCUCUCUGUAUUACUUCCGGAUGGUCGUCCGGCAACCAAAACUUGUUGGGUGGCUGCACGUACGUCAUCUUCCAGUAUUGAGUAUUUGUUGGCUCGUCUGAAUAAGUCGUCCAUUGUUGUAGGAGGUUUUUUGGCCAGUGAUUCGAAAAAUGGAGUGCCUGGACAGAUGCUUCGUUUGAAGAUCUGUAGAACAGCAUCCAUACUGCAAGCUUCCACUUGAAGUACGGCUUGGCCAAACCGCUUCACAAAUUCCCUUAAGGAUUCGUUAUCUUGCAUCUUUAUGUUCUACAAGGUGCUGAUAUUUUGCUUGUGUCGGGCGGAGCAUAAGUAUUGUCCCACGAAAGCUUCGGAUAGGUCCCUGAAAUUGCCAACAGAGUUGGGAGGUAGGCGAUGAAACCAUGAGAGGGCCUGUCCCUGUAGGCUGGCGGGAAAUACUUUGCAUAGCAGCGCAUCGUUGCCAAUAUCGAGCGUCAUGAGCUGUCGAUAAUGCAUGAUGUGAUCGAAGGGAUCGUUGGUUCCAUCGUAUGUGGAAAAUUUUGGUACGAGGAAUCCCCUUGGGGGCUCGUAGUUAAUGAUAUGAGAGCAGAAAGGCGUGGAGAGCAUGUCAUCCAGCCUUUUGCUGAUGGAGCCAGUGGGUGGCCCGUUUGGGAUGCUUCUCCCAGUUGGCUGUUCCGCUGGGUGCAAAUGAACGUUCCGCAUCACGAGAGUGACUAUGGGGUCACGAUGCGGGUGAACGUUCUGCGCCAUGGGGGUUGUCAUGGGGUCAGGGCGUGGUGCCCAGGUUGUGACCAUAGGUGGCCUUGAUCUUCUAGGCUCUUGCGGGCCUAGUCUUGCGCGCAUCGAAUUUGACAACUGUGACUUUUUAUCACGUUGCCUUUUUGCUGAAAAGUGAGUAGAGUCUGAGCUUUCCUCAUAGGGAGCUCGAGGCAUAGGCGUGCGUGGCUCAUGAGGCCUCACGUUGCAUGCCCCUGGGAUUGCUCCUGUUGUCCCAGGGUAUAUUGACUCUGGUUCUUGCUGAGGCCUUGAGUUUGCUACUUGGCCUCUCGAAUAUUGACGUCGAGGAGGCCCUGAUGUUGAAGCCUGGAUGCGUAACACAACGUUUUCUUCUCUCAAUCUCUCUGUCUCCUGGAGGAGAGCUUUUAGCUGCCUUUCGCUUGCUAACUGUCUCCUUUCGAUGGCUAGGCGCCAUUCAAAAUUAUCAUUCUCUCCCCUACCAGAUGACCGACUUUGGGAAGGUGUGGCCAUCUUUCUUAGUGACUGAAUCAAAGUAAAGAAAACUUCCCACAGACGGCGCCAAUGUUGCUACCUCGCGUCUUUGAGGAUCCACGUAGUCGCCAGAUGGAUGGACGCGUGAUUUCAACUUAUACAGGUUCUUGAUCCAGUCGUUAUACCUGCAAGAAGGCAUCCGGACAGGGUGUCCGGACACACCCUCCGAUGGUUUUGUUAGCCAUGGACCGAGAGAGGUAUAAAUCAGUUUGCCUUUUUUCAGGUAUCAAGAAGUUACCAGGGGCCUCUUUUCUUCGUGUGAAGGCAUAUAUAUAUACAGCUUCAGGGGUACUGUUCCUCUCAUUAAUGGUGAGGAGAUAUUUUAUGUUUGUCAUGAUGACAUUCGGAGGCAGUAUGGCCAUCACCACCCUACUGGCGGCUGUCAGAAACCGUGGUAGGUGAUGCUGCUGUCUAGAUAUCGUAGGAAGUGAGCAUGUAGAAUGAUCGUGGGAAGUGACUAGUUGUCACUUCGACCCGUCCUUUCACUCUGCAGAUGAUGGGACGUGGGCCAUGGCGCUGAUUAUCGUGAUAGCGUGUAAGACUCGCUUUACUUUAAUUGAUGAUCCGGACGAUUAUGUCCGGGUGGCACGUACUAAUUGCCCGGAUGCAUUGUGGAGCGGAUGCAUCAUGAAGGUUGUCCGGAUGUCUGUGUUUUGCCAGCGACGUUUGCUCUUCCUUGGAUAGGAGAAGUUGAAACGUCAUUUGCCUUUCCUUGAGGCGGUCCGGAUGGGAGAACUGCCUCACACAUAUCUUUAGGGGAAUCCGGAUGGUGGUGGUUUGGAUGAUGAUGUGUGCCACGUGUCACUGUGAGGUGCAUGCCACGUGUUUCCCAGAGGGAGGGGUCCCUACAAAUUUGAUUGAUUUUGGCUGGAUUAAAUUUAUUUUAUUGAUUUAUAUCUUUUUCUACACCUACUCAUUUUCCAUAUCCUUAAAUGACUUUCAUCAACUUGCUCAGAUCAAUUCUUCAUGCAGUGAAAAUUAAUCUAAUCUCAUAAUCAAUAUUAUAAUAUACAUGCAUGAAAAGAGUUAUACUAUUUAUUUCAAAAUAGUGUUUUAUCUAACUUUGGAUUUAAAAUGAAAAUCUUCUUCUUAGUUUGGGGAAGGGUAAUGACCGGCUUUGAAUCUAAGGGGUUCUCAUGAUUUUAAAAGAUAUAUAUGCACAUAGUUAAGAGAAACUUAUAUAUAUAUAUAUAUAUAUAUAUAUAUAUAAUACUAAAAACUUUUUCGUCUAUUGGAUAUGAUAUAUCAUAAUUACUUCAUGCAACGUUCUUGUUGUCCUAUAAGAUUCUGGGGAUAAACAGACAUAUAAUUCAUAUAAUUAUAGAGAUUUUGAAAGUUUGAGGUAACUUUCUCAAUGACGAGAAAGGAGUUGGAUUGAAUCUUCCUAAAAAAUACCUGAUUUCUAUAAAUCCAUACAUUCUACAAGAUAAUGGAAAAUUUUUCCAUAGAAUGCUUGAAAAUUUUGCAGUUAAUUUUAUAGUUUUCAUAUACCAUUUCAAACCAAGAUAAGAACUCACAUUUAUAAAAGAGAGGUAUAAAACAAUUAUGCUUAAUGCGAUUCUAAAUUCCUUGAACAAAAAGGCAAUAAUUAAAAAUAUGAUUUCAAUAUUUUGUCUACAAAGAUGACAUAUGUUUGUAAUAAAAUAUGACAAUAUUUUCAAUAUGUUAAUAUAUAAUAUGAGACUAUGUGUUCUUCAUUCACAAUUAGGAUGAUAAUGGUAUUUUUAGAUACCCACGCGUCCCAUCACCCCAUUUUAUAACCCCUAGGACAAAUUUUGAAGAAGUAUAUUUGAGAAUUUUUUAACCCAUAUUGGGUUUGGAAUGAUUUUGAAUCUUACCUCAUCCCAUUCUACUCUAUCCCAUAAUAUAUAAUUAAAUAAAAAUAAGAUAAUUAAUUUUAUUUUCAUUUUCCCCAUUUUUAAUACAUAUAAAACAAAAAUUGACAUCUUAGGGAUAGUUGUCUUUGAUACAACACUCACUUAUUCUUCUUAAUGAAUCAUCUCAAAACCAUAUUGAAACUUAUUUGAUUAAAUUACUAAUCCUUACCUUUCUAAUUAAUUAAAAAGACUUUUUAAGAGCCUUUUUGAAAGGUUUAUAAGAACUUUCAUAUUAAGAGUUUAUCAUUAUUUUUUAGAAUUUACUAUCAAAAGUAUUUGGAUUUGGCUAAUAUAGAAGUGUAAUUUUCUUAUAGCUAUAAAAAAUAUAUCACCAAUCAAGUGAUGUCAUAUAAACAUUUAUAGAUUUCAUUUUUUGUACCCUAAUUCUAUUUAUUUGUACCCUAAUAUCUUGGUUACAUUCAUUUAUACCUUUUUUCAAUGGUUUAGAUGAUAUUAUAUAUAUUUAAUAGCCCAAAUCUUUUAAUCGAUAGGUAUCACUAUGGUACCUUAGCAUUUUUCUAAAUAUUUUUCUUUUGUUUUUGUAUGCAAACACUUUAGUCAUGUGUAUGAAAACCCUAUUAUUAGAAAAUUACAAAUUUUAAUUAGGGUCUUAUAAUUUUUUUGAGAGGAAAAAAAAUUCAUACGGGGGCUUUUAGCAUUCCAUGUUGGAUAUUAGACUGUCCGAUUAGGUUUCCUUUGUUUUGCACUGGGAGUUGACUAAAUCACCCAUGAUUACUUUUAAGCAUCUUCUAUUCACCUUUUCAACUUUUAUGCAACUAAAAUUCACUUUCAAACCAUUACUUUGGCCCAAAUUCAAGCUUAUAAUCAUAUAAUCAUAUAUAAAAUAUACCUACUCGAGUCUUCAACUUAAUCUUCGAGAUUUGUAACUCUUAUUAGAAAUUAUUGACUUAUUUGACAACUAUUUUUUAGAACAAUUUUCUAUUCUUCAAAAUAAAAAAUAAGGAAAACGUGUUUAACAACUAAGAAUUGUUUACUAUUUUUUGUUUUUAAGAAUAGAAAAUAAAAUAAAACAUUUUUAGAAAACAUCUUUUAAUUAUUUUUACUUAUUUUUCGAAUAUUGUUUUACAAAAUAAGUAUAUAAACAUAUAGAAUGAUUAAAAAUAAAAUACUAGACAUAAAAAUUAUUUCUAAACAUAUUUUAAAAUAUUAAAAAUUUGUUAAAAACAUUUCAUAUUUUCAAACAGAUUUUUAUUUUAUAGAAUAGUUUUUAAAAACUGUUUUUAAAAACAGUUGCCAAAUAGACCCUAAAUAUUUUUGAAUAAGUGAUUUUUAAAACAAAACUAGCACUAUAUCAGCAUACAAGAUACAAAUUAACAACUUAAAACUCAAAGUGAUAAGGACAAAACACAUGGCUUUAGGGGUGUUGUAGGGGAGAAUGCCCUUUGAUUCAAGAAAAUGAAGUAGCAAAGGAAAGGCAAAUAAGAUGAUAACAAGAGUAGGAUGCAAGAAGUCCUUAUACGAAAGAGAUUUUUCAUAUAAAUAAAUGUGAAGAUAUAUCUAGAAAUGUUAUUAUUGGAAUGGGAAUGUAAGGGCCUGUUUGUUUAGUGUUUUCAAGAACUGUUCUCUGUUCUUGAAAACAAAAAACACCAAAAACUCGUUUGGUUGAGAGAGUGAUUUUUGUUUUUGUUGUUUCCCGUGUUCUCAAAAUGACACUGUUUAGAGAACAACAAAAUCUUGUUUUCCCCGUUUUUUUACUGUUCACAGAACAAAAUUAAACAAAAAAAAACAAUCUGUUUCCGUGUUUUUUUUUUUCUUCCCGUUUUUAUCUCUUCUCCAGCACAGUGGCUCGCCUCUUCUUGAUUUUUCCCGUUUCUCAGUUUUGAUUCAAGGUUCGUGAAAUUUAAAUCCAAUCGCACAAUAGCAAAGAGACCCCUAAAACGGAUCCAAAAAACACAGGGAGCAAAAGAAAAUCCAUUUUUUUUGUUUUCCUUGGGGUUUUUGCUUGGAUUUUCUCGGAAAUCAAACGAGGAUGAAUUUUCUCGGAAAUCGAAUGGGGGAUGGGUUUUCUUGGGAAUCAAACGGGGGUUGCAGGGUUUUUGCUUGGAUUUUCUCCGAAAUCAAACGAGGAUGAAUUUUCCCGGAAAUCGAAUGGGGGAUGGAUUUUCUUGGGAAUCAAACAGGGGUUGCAGGGUUUUUGCUUGGAUUUUCUCGGAAAUCAAACGAGGAUGAAUUUUCCCGGAAAUCGAAUGGGGGAUGGAUUUUCUUGGGAAUCAAACGGGGGUUGCAAAAAAAAUAAUAAUAAUAAUAACAUGAUUAGAUUAGUACCUGUGAGGAUUGAGAGUGGCAGAGGAAAAUAGGGCCUUUUACGGAUUCUCUCGGCUGGAGGGCAACUUAGAAAAGGGCUUCUUGAUGCCCGAUGAGAGAAGUGGGUGGCAUUUUGAAUUUUAGAUUUAGUAGAGAUAAAAAAAAAUUAACAUCAUGAGAACAAUUUUAUCUCAACUUAAUAAAAUAUGCUAUAAUUUUUAAUAAAGUUAAAGAUUAAAUAAAAAAAUAUUAAUAAAAAUAAUUUUAUUAUGUUUCAUUUAUUUUUUAAAAAAUAUAAAAAAUAUUUUUAUUUUUAAAUUAAUAAAAUAAAUAAUUUUUUUUAAUUUAAAUUAACUAUAUAUCUAAAAAUUAUUUAUAAAUUUAUAAUAUAAAAUUACUUGAAGAAAAUAUUUUAUUAAUUAGAAAAGAAAAAAAAAUCUUUCAAACAUGUUUUUUGUUUUAUUUGUUCUAAAUUUUUUUUUUUAUUAACUCAACCAAACAUGUUUUUUUGUUUUUGAGAACAAAAACUGUUUUUCAAAAUUCAAUUCCCAAACACAAUUUUUAAAAAAAAAACACCAAAAACUGUUCUUAAAAACUGUUCUCAAAAAUUGUUUUCCAGAACAGUUUUCAAAAACAGCAACCAAACAGGCCCUAAACUUCACUCCUCUAAUUCUCACGUAUUUUUAUAUAUGAAACAUGAAUUUCAUAUUAUGUUACCAUUUUCGCCCUCUAAAUGAGAACUAAUUUCUUUCAUCUCCUUUUAAUUGAUGUAUGAUUUUCUACUCCGAAUCUUGUGGUAGACAAUUUUAUAAAAAAAUUAGAAUUAUUUGACAAUAUUAUAAAAAAAUAGUUUUGGAGAACGGUUGAUCAUAAAAAUAGCUUUUAAUUAUUUUUUUUAAGAACAAAAAACCUACUCUUAACUUACCAAUAUAUCUUUAUUAAGCUCCUGUCGGUGGUUUUAGAGCUACUAGGAAUGGCAGGCCUGUUAGCUCUAACCCCAGGAGUAGUUCUUGGAACUGGUCCUUUUCCUGGAAAUUUUGGCUUCCAAAUGCACAGAAUAUUACUGAACCAGGCUUGAACCCACCCAGCCACUGAGGCCACCGGUCCUCUAAUGGCGUGGGUAAUACGGGGCCUGUUAGGAACACUGGUUUUCCAUACUGACCUCCAAUGUAGUCACAGAAGGGCCCUUCAAUUUCAUGACAUGUUCUUCUAGAGAUGGCAUCACAGCAUUUCAUGCCAGUGGUGAGGCGUUGACACCGUAAAGAAAAGAAGAAUUCGGAAAUGUAGAAAAGCCUCUCUUGAUUAUCAAGAGAGGUUAUACAAUAUUUAUAUUGUAUACUUGAAUUAGUUACAAUCUGAUUUUAAUCAGAUAAUAAUUUGAACUUAAAAACAAAAAACAAACUUACCAAACUGAUAAAGAUAAAACCUACCAAGUUAUCAACUAAUACACAUUGUGAUAAAUAUAAGUUUGUAAAGUUUUAUCUUUAUUAGUUUGAGCUUGUCUUGGAGCAUCUGGAAACGUUGAGUCCCAAGACCCCUCAAGCGAAGAUAUCUGCAAUUUGAUAAUUAGUAGAGAUGUGUCUAACAGUGAGGUUACCUUGGAGGACCUUUUCACGAACAAAGUGGAAAUUAAUUUCUACAUGCUUCAUUCUAGAGUGAAUGACCGGAUUUGCAGCAAGAAAUAUAGCUCCCAAAUUAUCACACCAUAAGAUAGGAGAAGAGUGUUGAAUAAUACCAAUAUCUUUAAGCAAGGAUUGGAUCCAUGACAGUCUACAACUGCUAGUGCGAUAGCUCUGUACUCCGACUCUGUACUUGAAUGAGCUAUGACUUUUUGCUUGGUUGUCUGCCAAGAAAUAAGAUUAGGCCCAAGAUAAAUAGCAUAACCACUCAUGGAAUUUCUAUCAUCGGGAUUGCUUGUCCAAUCUGCAUCAAUAUAGGCCAAAAGAGGUAAAGAAGAUGCACUAGUGAGUCGAAGACCAUGAUAAAUUGUACCAUUAAGGUACCGCAAUAUCCGUUUCACCCCUUUCCAGUGUAGGGUAGUUGGGUUGUGCAUGAAUUGGGAAGCUUUGUUGACUACAAAGGUGAUAUCCGACCUGGUUAAUGUUAAGUAUUGGAGUGCACCAACAGUGCUACGAUAAGUGUGAGGAUCGCUCAUAGGGUCACCAUCAUGAAUGGAGAGUUGUUUACCAGCAAUAAUUGGGCUUGGUAGUGGUUUAGCACCAUCCAUUUUGGUUCGAACCAACAAGUCAUGGAUAUACUUCGAUUGAGUGAGAUAGAGCAUUACCAUGGCGAGAGGCUUCCAGUCCCAAAAAACUAAUGAAGAUCUCCCAAAUCUUUUAAGGCAAAAUUCUUGUUGAGAUAUGAAAUUAAGGACUGCAUGAGAGAUAUGCUAUCACCUAUGAGAAGGAUGUCAUCGACAUAAACUAGUAAAAUCAGAGUAUGCUGAUUGUUUCAAAAGAGAAACAUGGAGGGAUCAACAAUGAAAGGUUGAAAACCCCAUUUGAGGAGAGUGUCUUGCAAAUGUUGGAACCAAGCCCGAGGAGCCUGUUUGAGACCAUAUAAUGUCUUCUCUAAUUUGCAAAAAUAAUUAGGAAAUUGAGAAAGCACAAAAUCAGAUGGUUGAGCUAUAUAUACGUCUUCCACAAGAAGUCCAUUCAAGAAGGCAUUAUGGACAUCUAAUUGACGGAUGGGCCAAUUAUGGGAGAUUGCAAAGGAUAGAACAGUGCAAAUAGUGGUUGCUUUGACCAUUGUGGGUUGUGGGGGUGGGGGGGGGUUUAUCCCAUGUGUCCACCCACAAGUACUUCCACUCGUCUGUCCACGUGGCAUCAUUUUAGCUGGGCCACGUGUCAGUUCUUCAUCACUACGCAGAUGACCUCCAAGGCAUCCGGAGACAUCCUGUCCGGACCAUUUGCGUUGCUGAGUGGCCCACAUAUCCUUGAUAACCUCAAAUAUUUUCUGAUAUAUGAGACCAUGGCUAGCUGACACUAGAUUGACUGAUGGGAUUCUUCUCAUCCUCACGUCUGUUUCAGUAGAUAGGCAUGCUUAGUCUCAAGCCGUUAACAAGGUUGAAGGGACAACAAGUUGUGUCAUGACGCGCCAUUUGACAUAGCCCCCAGCCGCUUGCAGAUGUGAUGAUUGUCCUGUCAGUACUGCGUAAUCAUCACUACAAGGGCCAACUCAGCACUACGGAGUCUGACUCCACAUUUGAACAUUAUAAAAAUCCUAUUGAAAUAGAAGAAGACGAGGACACAGCGAGUCAUCUCAACCCACUCUCUCUCUCUCUCUUUAAAGGUUUCCAUUCUCCUAACGUCUAACUUGGGCUUCGGAGGGUGUGUCCGGACAACCCGUCCAGACAUCUUUGUGCAGGGAAGCAUAAGGCCUAGAUUCCGAUACCGGAGCGAGAGCUUUCUCUACCACGCCUAAGGGAGGAAUCCAUCCUCAGUUGACUAGGUAUCAACACAUUGGGCUGAACGUUUCAGUGUAAUCAACAUCUGGAAAUUGAUGAAAACCUUUUGUAACUAACCGAGCUUUGAAUAUGUCCACAAUCCCAUCCAGAUUCUGUUUGAAUAGUGCAGAUGGGAAUUGGUGGGUUUUAUGGGUUCUGGUGGGGGAGGGUUUAGAAGGGCCAUGGUACCUACGGUAUUGUCGUGGGAGAGAGUGGGGAGUGGUUCUAGUGGAGCACGUGAGCGAGUUAAGGUGGGUUUUGAUGGUUGUGGAGGUACUGGAGCAUGUGGAUGGAGUUGUGGGGUUUGGUGAAUGUGGGAGAGAGAGGAUGAGGAAGCUUGUGGCAAUAAAGGGAGAAGCACUUGUAGGAACUGGGAUGGCAAGUCUGGUGGCUUGGAAAUUGGACUAGAAGGCUUGAAAAAAUCAGUGGAGAAUGGGAAAUCAUUUUCAUUAAAAAUAACAUGCAGUGAAAUGAGAAUUUUCCCAGAAUUGGGGAGACACAAAUAACCUUUAUGAUAUGGGUUGUAGCCAAGAAAGAUUUGUUUUAAGGAGUGAAAUUGGAAUCUUUGUUUGCUAAGAGGAUGAGUAAAUGGGUAGCAUGCACAACCAAAUGUGUGAAGAAAGGAGUAGUCAGGUUGAUGGUGGAAAAUUUUUUCCGAAGGAGUUUUGUUUUGAAGAAUCGGGGUUGGAAGACGAUUAAUGGUGUAAACAAAGAAGGCAAAGCAAAAUCCUAGAAUUAGAGAGGUAAAGAUGCAUGAGCAAGACAAGUCAUACCCAUUUCGCAAUAUGACGUUGUUUGUGUUCUGCUUUGCCAUUUUGUUAAUGGGCGUGUGGACAAGAAAACUGGUGGUGUAUGCCAUGGGAUUCAAGAAAUUAUCGAAAAGUUGUAGAUGAAAAUUCUCCACCCUCAUCAGUUUGAAGAAAUUUUAUUUUUGUUUCCAAUUGAUUUUCAACAAGAAGUUUAAAUUUGAUGAAAGAUGAUAAGGCUUCAGAUUUGUUUUGUAAGGGAUAUAACCAUGUGUAGCGUGAAAAAUCAUCAGAUGUAGUAUCGAAAGCCUUUGGUGGAGAUCAUGGGGGAUGGUCCCCAAAUGUCACUGUGAAUAAGCUGAAGUGGUUUGGUUGUUUUCUGAACAACAGGUUUGAAAGGCAGACGUUUGUGUUUGCCAAAAACUGACAGGAAGCACAAAAUGCAAUAUUUUUAUUAAAAUUGAAAGGCAAAUUACAAUAUGAAAAAACUUGGGAUAAAAUCCUAAGGAAAGGAUGACCUAAUCGAGCAUGCCAAAUGUGAGCCUGAGAAGGUGAAGUGGUUAAGGCAAUUGACUUAUUGAAAGUAGAAAAACAACUUGGUUGUGAGACUGCACUAAUUGAACUGGACUGAACGAACAAGUAGGUUUUGAUUGCUCAGCACGAGGGGUCAGAAGUUGCAAUUUGUAAAGACCAUGAUCAAGUAGCCCAUGGAGCAAAAUCUUCUUGGAAACUUGAUCCUUAACAAGAAAAAAAGUGUGGUAAAAUUCAAAAAAAACAAUUGUUGUCAGAUGUGAAUUUGGCAAUGCUUAGAAGGUUCUUUGUAAUUUCAAGAACAAAAUGUUUUGAAGGGUAAAUGUGUGUGGAUGUGUUUGAAGUAAUGAAUUUCCAAUGUGUUUUAUGUCCAGACCUGUGCCAUUGCCGACUGUUAUUUUGUCAGUACCAGUGUAUGGAUUUUGGGUUGAAAGGUUGUUGAUGUCAGGGUGAGCUGAUGAGUUGCUCCAGAGUCGACAUACCAGGAUGGGUUAGUUAUUAUCUGAGGUGUGGCAAUCAUGGCAUGCAUCUGGUAUUGUUAAUGGUUAUUUGGAGGUUGAAAGUUACGAUCAAAUCGGUAGUAGCAUGAGAUUGCAAGAUGGUCGAGUUUUCCACAAACUUGGCAUCGUGGACGAGUGCCACGACCCAUUUCAUUUCUGCUAUUGCCACCAUGUCCCCUUGCUCUGGCACUAAACUGAAAACGGCCUUGCCGACUACCAUGAUAUUUAGGUGCUGAUUUUGGCUUCGGAGAUGUUGCAGUAGCUAGGUUGGCAGAAGGUUGAUUAACAUCCAAUGUGACUUUUGUAUUUUGCUGCUUCAAACGGAUGUGAAAGCUGGUGAGCAAAGUAGAUAAUUCAGAUAGAGAAAUCGAUGCUGGUCGGGCAAGGAUCGAUGUCACAAAAGGGUUGCAUUCAACUCCCAGUCCGCCUAAGAUAUGAAGGACAAGUCUUUGUUCAUCCACAGGUUCUCCUGCUACUGCCAAUUUAUCUGCAAUAUUUUUCAUUUUGAGAAGAUAAUCAUCAAUAUCAGAAACUCCUUUUUUUUGUAUUUUGGAGUUGAAAUUGAAGUUGCAUGAUAUUGGAUGAUGACUGGGAGGCCAAUAAAGUUUCAAGGGUGGUCCAAACUGCAUGAGAGGUUUGACAUCCAACCACGUGCCCUAAAAUGGCUUCAGAGAGAAAGGCUAGUAACCAACACAAAAGGAGUUGGUCUUGUUGUUCCCAUGCAUAUAAUCAGGAUUAAUACUAUGGGUUGAUUCUUCUUGAUAUUUGGGAGGGCAAGGUAGUGUCCCAAAGAGAAAACCACCAAGAUUAUGACCUUUGAUGGCAGGUAUAAUCUGUGAUUUCCGGAGAAGAUAGUUACUCCGAUCAAGUUUGAUGUUGAUGGGAUGGUUAAAGGUAUUGUGAAAUAAUGAGGGUGUUGUAAGAAAGGAGAUUGAAGAUGACUCUAUAGUAGAAGACAUUGGACGUUAGUCAGAGAUUGCUCUGAUACGAUGUAAAGAAAAGAAGAAUUCUGAAAUGUUGAAAAACCUCUAUUGAUUAUCAAGGAGAGGUUAUGCAAUGUUUAUAUCAUAUACUUGAAGUAGUUACAAUCUGAUUUAAAUCGGAUAAUAAUUUGAAUUUAAAUACAGGAAACAUAAGACCUACCAACUUAUCAACUAAUACACAUUGUGAUAAAUAUAAGUUUGAUAAGUUUCAUCUCUAUCACUUUGAGGAUAUUUAUUAUCCUUUACAGAUACAAGUUGACGCCUUCACCAAAUGGGGCAAACAGGAAUUGCACCAUCCAAGCUUCAUGGGGCGGAGCACCACCGUUGAGGAGGGGUAACCAGGGGGUGUCACAGCUGUAAUUGGCCUGUCUUUGCUAACUUGUUGACCCGGGACAGGGUGGCGGGCAAAGGCUGCUGCACAAACUGCACUGUAGUAUAUGGACUUGAUGCCUACUUUGGAAGUCAAAGCGGGAGCCAAGUGAAGAAAAUCAAAGAGGAAAAGGUCUGGCUUCAAGGCACGUAGGGCUGCCUCAACUUGGUCAGUGGUGCGGUCCAUGGCGGUGGCGAGAAGGUGAUGCAAGAAGUUGGGCACAUCGGAAGCAGUUUCAGCGCCGGAAGGGAGGCCAUCAACAUGGGGGAUGGUGAGGGGAUGGAAAGUUAUGAGAGUGGGAUGAAGAUUCAG